GAUGAACGCUAGCUACAGGCUUAACACACGCAAGUCGAGGGGUAACAAGAGAAAAGCUUGCUUUUCUUGUUGACGACCGGCGCACGGGUGAGUAACGCGUAUCCAACCUGCCUAUAACUAGGGGAUAACCUUGCGAAAGUAAGACUAAUACCCUAUGAUUUCCUUUGAUGACAUCAGUUUAGGAAUAAAGAUUUAUCGGUUAUAGAUGGGGAUGCGUCUGAUUAGCUUGUUUGCGGGGUAACGGCCCACCAAGGCAACGAUCAGUAUGGGUUCUGAGAGGAAGGUCCCCCGCAUUGGAACUGAGACACGGUCCAAACUCCUACGGGACGCAGCAGUGAGGAAUAUUGGUCAAUGGGCGGAAGCCUGAACCAGCCAAGUAGCGUGCAGGAUGACGGCCCUAUGGGUUGUAAACUGCUUUUAUACAGGAAUAAAGUUAGCCACGUGUGGUUAUUUGUAGGUACUGUAUGAAUAAGGACCGGCUAAUUCCGUGCCAGCCGCCGCGGUAA
RNAcentral lists this ribosomal RNA (506 nucleotides) under uncultured bacterium. RNAcentral's name for it is "partial 16S ribosomal RNA". It matches the Rfam family "Bacterial small subunit ribosomal RNA", at positions 28 to 523 of the family's 1533-position model. The record is from RNAcentral.